This 72-nucleotide transfer RNA is filed under the name Phrynosoma platyrhinos (Desert horned lizard). Its description in RNAcentral is "tRNA-OTHER". Lineage: Eukaryota; Metazoa; Chordata; Lepidosauria; Squamata; Phrynosomatidae. The record is from RNAcentral.
GCCAGCAUGAUAUAGUGGUUUGAACAUUGGACUAUGACUCUGGAGACCAGGCUUCGAAUCCUGGUCCAGCCA